Molecule: long non-coding RNA, 202 nt
Filed under: Aotus nancymaae (Ma's night monkey)
Lineage: Eukaryota; Metazoa; Chordata; Mammalia; Primates; Aotidae
Description: lncRNA (ENSANAG00000039550.1)
Source: RNAcentral
CAGGAAGCACUCACAAGGUCUAAGUGGGUCUGAUUUUGCUUUUGAAAGUAGUAGGAGAGGAAAGAGACUUGAUUACCUAACAGCUGUUCAAGAAUCCGAUUUUCUGGAUAUUGGCAUGUUAUUUUCAAUGGCCAGCUACAUUCGGUGGUCAUCUAUCAAAAUACUAGCUUCGCUUACUGUCAACGAAGUCAGGAAGCCGUAA